AAGUAGUCUAAUCAAGAAAUCAACCGAGAUUUUAUUACUAGUGGUGAGCGAAAGCAAAUUAGAUUUUUCAUAGCAUAGGUUUUUAACAGAAUUACCAAAGAGGGUGAAAGUCCCGUAUGUUAGAAUGGUGCUUAUGAAUUUAGUAGAGCAAAAGUCUUAUUUUGCUUGAAUAAUGGGGUCCCACCCUCAAAAUCUAAAGACAAUUCUAAGAAUCGAUAGUGAACAAGUACCGUGAGGGAAAGCUGAAAAAGAACUCAAGAGAGUGAAAAGACUUUAAAAUUCAAUUUUAAUUAGCAGUCGGUAUUACGGCGUGCCUUUUGCAUAAUGAGUCAAUGAGUUUUUUGUAAAAGCAAGCUAAAAGGCAAAAGUUUUUGCAAAAAGACCCGAAACCAAGUGAUCUAGCCAUGAUCAGGCUGAAAACUUUCCCGUAAGGGAAGUUGGAGGGCCGAACCCGUGUAUGUGGAAAAAUGCUGGGAUGAAUUGUGGCUAGGGGUGAAAGGCUAAUCAAACUUGGAGAUAGCUGGUUUUUUGCGAAAUAUAUUUAAGUAUAGCGUUUAAAAAUGGUCAAUUGGGGUAGAGCACUUUUUAGGUGAUGGGGAUUUUCGAAUUUUACUGAUCUUAGAAAAACUCCGAAUACAAAUGAGAUUAUUUAAACAGUCGGACAGUAGGAGCUAAGUUCUACUGUCAAGAGGGAAACAGCCCAGACUUUUAAUUAAGGCCCCAAAUUAAAUUUUAGUUGGAAAGAAGUAAGAAAGUAAAGACAUUCUUGGAGUAGGCUUGGAAGCAGCCAUCUAUAAUAAAAUGCGUAACAGCUUGAAGAGAGAACUUUCUUGCGCUGCUAAUGUAAGGGAUUAAAAUUUAAGCCGAAAUUAAAGAUAAUUAGUAUUAUGGUAGCAAAACGUCUUCUAGAGCUUAGAAGCUGUUCUGUAAAGAGUAGUGGAGCUAUGAAGAGUGUAUAUAUUGACAUAAGUAGCGAUAAACAAUGAUAAGAAUCAUUGUCGCCCUAAGCUCAAUGGAUCCAAUGUUAAAUUUGAUUUCGUUGGUAGUGAAUCGGCCCCUAAGACUUAAGCGGUAGCUUUUUAGACGAUGGGAUUCGUUUGUGUGACGGAAAGAAAAGUGUAUAAUUUAUUAUCGACUUUAAAUUGUACAUUUACUUUUCCAAGAAAUAGCACAAGCAUUAGAAUAAACCGUACACCAAUCCGACACAGGUGAGUGGGUAGAGUAUACUAAGGCGGAUGAGAUAAUCUAUGUAAAGGAACUCGGCAAAAUUAUCCUGUAACUUCGGGAGAAGGGAUGACAACUUGUGGGCAACCAUAAGUUGUUGGCACAGAAAUGGAGGUAGCAACUGUUUAUUAAAAACACAGGUCUCUGCUAAUUCGUAAGAAGAUGUAUAGGGACUGACGCCUGCCCGGUGCUGUAAAGUUAAGGGGAGAGGUCUUGGCUUCAAACUUAAGCUCCAGUAAACGGCGGCUGUAACUCUGACGGUCCUAAGGUAGCGAAAUUCCUUGUCGGGUAAUUUCCGACCCGCAUGAAUGGCGUAAUGACUUCCUUACUGUCUCUACAUAGAACUCAGUGAAAUUGAAAUAUUUGUGCAGAUGCGAAUUUGUAGCAGCUAGACGGAAAGACCCCGUGCACCUUUACUAUGUUUAUAAAUUGAAAUAAGA
RNAcentral lists this ribosomal RNA (1664 nucleotides) under invertebrate metagenome. Its description in RNAcentral is "bacterial LSU rRNA". It matches the Rfam family "Bacterial large subunit ribosomal RNA", at positions 204 to 2127 of the family's 2925-position model. The record is from RNAcentral.